Molecule: transfer RNA, 72 nt
Filed under: Candidatus Micrarchaeota archaeon CG1_02_49_24
Lineage: Archaea; Nanobdellati; Microcaldota
Also listed under: 3 other names
Description: tRNA-Val
Rfam family: tRNA
About the family: Transfer RNA (tRNA) molecules are approximately 80 nucleotides in length.
Source: RNAcentral
GGACUCGUAGUCGAAUGGUAAGACGCUACCCUGACAUGGUAAAGAUUCGCGGUUCGAUUCCGCGCGAGUCCA